CCCAGGAGCCACAAGUGGCAACCACCUUUAUUGGGCCUAAAGCGUCCGUAGCCGGUCAUGUAAAUUUUCUGUGAAAUCGUUGCGCUUAACGCAACGGCGCGCAGAGAACACUGCAUGACUUGGGACCGGGAGGAGUCAGAGGUAUUUCAGGGGGAGCGGUAAAAUGCUAUAAUCCUUGGAGGACCACCUGUGGCGAAGGCGUCUGACUAGAACGGAUCCGACGGUGAGGGACGAAAGCUAGGGGAGCAAUCCGG
Molecule: ribosomal RNA, 254 nt
Filed under: uncultured archaeon
Lineage: Archaea
Description: partial 16S ribosomal RNA
Rfam family: Archaeal small subunit ribosomal RNA
Source: RNAcentral